RNAcentral lists this ribosomal RNA (497 nucleotides) under uncultured bacterium. RNAcentral describes it as "partial 16S ribosomal RNA". It matches the Rfam family "Bacterial small subunit ribosomal RNA", at positions 28 to 507 of the family's 1533-position model. The record is from RNAcentral.
GAUGAACGCUGGCGGCGUGCCUAAUACAUGCAAGUCGAGCGAACAGACGAGGAGCUUGCUCCUCUGACGUUAGCGGCGGACGGGUGAGUAACACGUGGAUAACCUACCUAUAAGACUGGGAUAACUUCGGGAAACCGGAGCUAAUACCGGAUAAUAUAUUGAACCGCAUGGUUCAAUAGUGAAAGACGGUUUUGCUGUCACUUAUAGAUGGAUCCGCGCCGCAUUAGCUAGUUGGUAAGGUAACGGCUUACCAAGGCAACGAUGCGUAGCCGACCUGAGAGGGUGAUCGCACACACUGGAAGUGAGACACGGUCCAGACUCCUACGGGAGGCAGCAGUAGGGAAUCUUCCGCAAUGGGCGAAAGCCUGACGGAGCAACGCCGCGUGAGUGAUGAAGGUCUUCGGAUCGUAAAACUCUGUUAUCAGGGAAGAACAAAUGUGUAAGUAACUAUGCACGUCUUGACGGUACCUAAUCAGAAAGCCACGGCUAACUACGUG